UUACCGAGUGAGGGCCCUCUGGGUCCAACCUCCCACCCGUGUUUAUUUUACCUUGUUGCUUCGGCGGGCCCGCCUUAACUGGCCGCCGGGGGGCUUACGCCCCCGGGCCCGCGCCCGCCGAAGACACCCUCGAACUCUGUCUGAAGAUUGAAGUCUGAGUGAAAAUAUAAAUUAUUUAAAACUUUCAACAACGGAUCUCUUGGUUCCGGCAUCGAUGAAGAACGCAGCGAAAUGCGAUACGUAAUGUGAAUUGCAAAUUCAGUGAAUCAUCGAGUCUUUGAACGCACAUUGCGCCCCCUGGUAUUCCGGGGGGCAUGCCUGUCCGAGCGUCAUUGCUGCCCUCAAGCCCGGCUUGUGUGUUGGGCCCCGUCCCCCGAUCUCCGGGGGACGGGCCCGAAAGGCAGCGGCGGCACCGCGUCCGGUCCUCGAGCGUAUGGGGCUUUGUCACCCGCUCUGUAGGCCCGGCCGGCGCUUGCCGAUCAACCCAAAUUUUUAUCCAGGUUGACCUCGGAUCAGGUAGGGAUACCCGCUGAACUUAAGCAUAUCAAUAAGCGGAGGAA
Molecule: ribosomal RNA, 560 nt
Filed under: Penicillium crustosum
Lineage: Eukaryota; Fungi; Ascomycota; Eurotiomycetes; Eurotiales; Aspergillaceae
Description: eukaryotic LSU rRNA
Rfam family: 5.8S ribosomal RNA (bases 180-332)
Source: RNAcentral